UUGUCAAAGAACAACUGGGAGAGUUUUUCAUCUAAAUAGAACUGAUCAUCAUUCAUAAUGGAAAAUACACUCACAUGGACUGUAUUUGUGUUUAUACUUCACAUACAUGGAGUUUGGUGUGAGAUCAAACUGGACCAGUCAUCCUCUGAGGUGAAAAGACCUGGAGACACAGUGCAGAUGUCAUGUGUCAUUUCUGGUUAUAGCAUGACGAGCAACAACAUCCACUGGAUACGACAGAGGCCGGGACAAGCUCUGGAAUGGAUUGGGAGAAUGGACACAGGCAAUAAUUCUCCUCUCUAUGGCAGCUCUUUCCAAAGACGUUUCACCAUGACUGAAAAUGUUCCCAGCAGCACUCAGUACCUGGAAAUCACCAGUCUGACAACAGACGAUUCUGCUGUUUACUUCUGUGUCAACACAGUGACUGAAGACAGUGGAGCAGCUGAAUAA
Molecule: non-coding RNA, 447 nt
Organism: Sphaeramia orbicularis (orbiculate cardinalfish)
Lineage: Eukaryota; Metazoa; Chordata; Actinopteri; Kurtiformes; Apogonidae
Source: the annotation of a RefSeq genome assembly